Molecule: non-coding RNA, 797 nt
Organism: Ciona intestinalis (vase tunicate)
Lineage: Eukaryota; Metazoa; Chordata; Ascidiacea; Phlebobranchia; Cionidae
Source: RefSeq, a predicted model, not a curated record
UUGCGUUUGUUAAUCUCGUCUUUUUCGCUUUCUGUUUCAGAAAUCAAGACGGUUCUUUAUUACGUCACUCGCGACGUCACAUGCAAUAUCUCGGUUCAUAUUUGCUGCGUUCCGUUACGUCACAACUCGUCACAAUCGUUUUUUUACCAUUCACGUCCAUGUUAUGUCACAAGUUUCGUUACGUCAUAGCAGAACAAUACGCGUCUGUUUUAUACGUGCGUUCCGCGACGAUUUUUUUUUCAUGGGGCCCCAUGCGCGUUUUACGUCGAUGCAAGGCAUAUUACUUGUAUAUUCUAACCAUAUUUGCGCUAUUAGUGCGAAGCAAGAAAAUCAAGAAUUGGUAAAGUAUAAAUCACAAUUGGCAUUAUUACGUACAUUAGCUCUUUUCCAGAAUAAUCAGUCGAUGAUGUGACGUCACGAAGUGGUGAUGACGCAACAGAAGAACGCACUUCAACAUGUUGUGUGACGUCACAGAGGAUCAAGCGGACCAUGGAACGAAGGAAGAAUGAAGAAGAGUCGUCGAAUAAAGCUGCAGAGGAAAAGCGCAAGACGAAGAACAAAGACGAAGACGCCAGUUAAGGAUACACGGUUUGAGGUUAUGAGGUUUAUAGUACGAGUUGUGAGUUGUAUGUGUGUCUGCGCUGCUGUAUUUUUAUUCUGCUGGACCUAAUGUUGCCAGCGAUUUUGGUCAGUCACUACUAUGGUGCAUUUUGCAUUUCACUGAAAUAUCUGCAAUGAAACUAUGGCGAACAUCUUGCUGGAUCGGAUUUUGUUGUUGUACACGUCAUUAUGUGUUU